Molecule: long non-coding RNA, 453 nt
Filed under: Neodiprion lecontei (redheaded pine sawfly)
Lineage: Eukaryota; Metazoa; Arthropoda; Insecta; Hymenoptera; Diprionidae
Description: uncharacterized LOC124293244
Source: RNAcentral
CUUCGGCCAACUUCAUGUGGUCGGAUUGGAGGCCGUUGUGUGCUCCCAGAGCCAAGGUUCCUCCCAAAAAGCAUACCAAAUGGUCCUGCAUAAUCGAGAUAACGGUAAAAAGUUUGAACACACUGCUUCAAAUAUUCAAAUGUCUGUAACCACUGUUUCAACAAAUAUUCAUAGUAACUGUCCCCUCGUGCGCCGAACGAGAUUGUUGACAAUUCUCUAAACGCUCCAGUGUUGGCGUUUAUAAAAAUUGGAACAAGUCCGUCGAAUUUCUUCAACUGAUGUACAUGCUCUGAAACCUUAGCUGCUGCUUCCUGAAACCAUUCAUAAAUAUGAAAUUUAGAAAAAUUUAACACAGAUAAAGUACCUCAAACUUUGACUGGCCUGAAACACGGCUAAGAUCGCGAAACUCCAACUGUAUUGUGGUAACUUCACUGGUACUACUGUCAGGGCCCC